GUGAUCGUGAAUGUUAUUCACGUUAUAAUAUUAAUAUUUGAGGCUAGAUUACACCUCUAAUGCUAAGGAUCCUGCGAGACCGUUCAUCCCGGAGGGGGACCGACUGCGCCACGGACGGACUGGGCGAGCGGAACUGACGUGUGGCUUUUAGUAAACAUCCGGUCCUUUAACUCGGGGCUGCGUAAUAACCACCGAGCGCUUGGAAGACAAACAAUGUCAUCUUCCUUCUGUUAGGAGGAUCAAAGUGAAGCUACAGGAGUUUCAUUAACGUCAAUAACUUGGACCGUACACUUUGUUUUGCUUGAUGAAGAGCAGGAAGGGCAGCCUGGAGAGAAAUUGAAGCCGGGUUGAGCCCACUACCAUCAUCCACGUACCACGAGGAAGAUGAGGGAGAGAAAUGAUCCUACCAUUAAAGAGAACGUUGAGAACAUCACCACUCUACAGGAAGACACAGUCCAGUAAUGGGUGUCAGAAGUUCAGUAGUGAACGACAGAAACAAACAAUCCAAAUUACCUGCAGAAUGCCCUUGAUGGACGCUUCAGGAGCAUUGUCAGACUGGAAGGACUGAUGCAUUUACUGAGACGGGAUGUGAGGGCCUACUCUGCGUGCUCAGAGUUCAAGCCCAGCAGGCUGCAGCAGGCCUGACAUAUUCCGGAACAGCAGCACAGUCUUUGGAUGACUCCUCUGAAGAUGAAAACAUGGCGAGUUCUUCUCAAGAGAAGCAGUACAGGUGUGCCUCAGCUCCACGGUCCCUCCUGCAGCCUCCGCUCCUGAUGCUAACCUCAUGUCUCCAUCACACCAAGUAGCAGACCUGGAUUGACAGACCUUUCUCCAGAGCUGCCCCCUCCCUCUGAAACCCCCCUCUCCAAAACACUAUUUGUGGCGUUUUUAAAGUCUUAUUUGCAUGAGAAUUGUUGAUCAUAUCAUUUCCAGCAGAUGCCUUAAUGUA
Molecule: long non-coding RNA, 949 nt
Organism: Pleuronectes platessa (European plaice)
Lineage: Eukaryota; Metazoa; Chordata; Actinopteri; Pleuronectiformes; Pleuronectidae
Exons: 6
Source: RefSeq, a predicted model, not a curated record